GACGAACGCUGGCGGCGUGCUUAACACAUGCAAGUCGAACGGAAAGGCCCUGCUUUUGUGGGGUGCUCGAGUGGCGAACGGGUGAGUAACACGUGAGUAACCUGCCCUUGACUUUGGGAUAACUUCAGGAAACUGGGGCUAAUACCGGAUAGGAGCUCCUGCUGCAUGGUGGGGGUUGGAAAGUUUCGGCGGUUGGGGAUGGACUCGCGGCUUAUCAGCUUGUUGGUGGGGUAGUGGCUUACCAAGGCUUUGACGGGUAGCCGGCCUGAGAGGGUGACCGGCCACAUUGGGACUGAUAUACGGCCCAGACUCCUACGGGGGGCAGCAGUGGGGAAUAUUGAACAAGGGGCGGAAGCCUGAUGCAGCAACGCCGCGUGCGGGAUGAGGGCCUUCGGGUUGUAAACCGCUUUCGCCGGUGACGAAGCGUGAGUGAGGGUAGUGGGUAAAGAAGCACCGGCUAACUACGUG
This 468-nucleotide ribosomal RNA is filed under the name uncultured bacterium. RNAcentral's name for it is "partial 16S ribosomal RNA". It matches the Rfam family "Bacterial small subunit ribosomal RNA", at positions 28 to 507 of the family's 1533-position model. The record is from RNAcentral.